ACCCUUUAAUGUUUGAUGUUCUAACGUGGACCCGUGAUCCGGGUUGCGGACAGUGUCUGGUGGGUAGUUUGACUGGGGCGGUCUCCUCCUAAAGAGUAACGGAGGAGCACGAAGGUUGGCUAAUCCUGGUCGGACAUCAGGAGGUUAGUGCAAUGGCAUAAGCCAGCUUGACUGCGAGCGUGACGGCGCGAGCAGGUGCGAAAGCAGGUCAUAGUGAUCCGGUGGUUCUGAAUGGAAGGGCCAUCGCUCAACGGAUAAAAGGUACUCCGGGGAUAACAGGCUGAUACCGCCCAAGAGUUCAUAUCGACGGCGGUGUUUGGCACCUCGAUGUCGGCUCAUCACAUCCUGGGGCUGAAGUAGGUCCCAAGGGUAUGGCUGUUCGCCAUUUAAAGUGGUACGCGAGCUGGGUUUAGAACGUCGUGAGACAGUUCGGUCCCUAUCUGCCGUGGGCGCUGGAGAACUGAGGGGGGCUGCUCCUAGUACGAGAGGACCGGAGUGGACGCAUCACUGGUGUUCGGGUUGUCAUGCCAAUGGCACUGCCCGGUAGCUAAAUGCGGAAGAGAUAAGUGCUGAAAGCAUCUAAGCACGAAACUUGCCCCGAGAUGAGUUCUCCCUGAGACUUAAAGUCUCCUGAAGGAACGUUGAAGACGACGACGUUGAUAGGCCGGGUGUGUAAG
Molecule: ribosomal RNA, 677 nt
Filed under: Salmonella enterica
Lineage: Bacteria; Pseudomonadati; Pseudomonadota; Gammaproteobacteria; Enterobacterales; Enterobacteriaceae
Description: partial 23S ribosomal RNA
Rfam family: Bacterial large subunit ribosomal RNA
Source: RNAcentral